AUAGUGUGGAAUGUUAAAAAUAAUUUCAAUUUCAAAAAGAGAUGGAACAAACAUAAGGACCUGUGAUUGUGUGGUGGUUAGGACGUUAGACUCGCAAUCUGGAGUUCACAGGAUGCUUGUCCUUUCAACCAUGGAGGCUAUGUAAUUUAACGGUCAAUCUUACUAUUCAUUGGUAAAGAAUAACUCAAAAAUUGGCGGUGCAAGUUGUAAACCAGAUUGUGAAAAUUGCAGCAUGUGCAUGCCCAGUUGGAAAGGAUAAGUGCCAUUAUAUGGCUGCACUACUGAUUUAGAUAAAGAAAAAUGUUACAUGAACAGAUGCUGAAUUGCAGUGGAGCCAUCCCAAUAGAAUCAAGUAUGAAGAAACCAUUCCAAAACUGCUAUCAGAGCUUUACCUUUGCUUCUGGCAGAAGCAAAGCUAGAAUAACAAGGCCUGUCCAAGAAGAGGACAUCUGCUGAAUGCAACAAAGGCUAUCUUCACUUGGAAGAUUUACAGGCUUGAGAUGAAUUCUUUCUCCAGAGUCACAGUUGAUAAUAUCAUAAAUGACUUUACUGAAUGACUAAACAAGUUUUUUUAUGAAUCAAACAAUAUUUUGUGAGAUGAAAAUAAUGGUAAAAAAGUAUAUAUUUACAUAUCAUGAGAAUUAUAUAUAUUAUAUGAAUGUGGACUUUUUAGGAAAAAUCUGCUGUAAA
This is a long non-coding RNA of Limulus polyphemus (Atlantic horseshoe crab), 690 nucleotides long. RefSeq lists it as uncharacterized. The record is from RefSeq and is a predicted model, not a curated record. NCBI's taxonomy places the organism in Eukaryota, Metazoa, Arthropoda, Merostomata, Xiphosura, Limulidae. The transcript is spliced from 3 exons.